Molecule: ribosomal RNA, 253 nt
Filed under: uncultured bacterium
Lineage: Bacteria
Description: partial 16S ribosomal RNA
Rfam family: Bacterial small subunit ribosomal RNA
Source: RNAcentral
UACAGAGACUGCAAGCGUUAUUCGGAUUUAUUGGGCGUAAAGGGUGCGUAGGUGGCAAAGUAAGUUGGAUGUGAAAUCCUGGGGCUCAACCUCAGAAUUGCAUUCAAUACUGCUUAGCUAGAGAGCUGUAGAGGAGACUGGAAUUUACGGUGUAGCAGUGAAAUGCGUAGAUAUCGUAAGGAACGCCAGUGGCGAAAGCGAGUCUCUGGGCAGCAUCUGACACUGAGGCACGAAGGCCAGGGGAGCAAACGGG